RNAcentral lists this ribosomal RNA (253 nucleotides) under uncultured bacterium. Its description in RNAcentral is "partial 16S ribosomal RNA". It matches the Rfam family "Bacterial small subunit ribosomal RNA", at positions 524 to 776 of the family's 1533-position model. The record is from RNAcentral.
UACGAAGGGGGCUAGCGUUGCUCGGAAUCACUGGGCGUAAAGGGUGCGUAGGCGGGUCUUUAAGUCAGGGGUGAAAUCCUGGAGCUCAACUCCAGAACUGCCUUUGAUACUGAGGAUCUUGAGUUCGGGAGAGGUGAGUGGAACUGCGAGUGUAGAGGUGAAAUUCGUAGAUAUUGGGAGGAACACCAGUGGCGAAGGCGGCUCACUGGACCGGUUCUGACGCUGAUGCGCGAAAGCGUGGGGAGCAAACGGG